GCGGUCGUGGCGGAAUUGGUAGACGCGCAGCGUUGAGGUCGCUGUCCGGGAAACCGGGUGGAAGUUCGAGUCUUCUCGACCGCACCA
RNAcentral lists this transfer RNA (87 nucleotides) under Rhodospirillaceae bacterium. RNAcentral describes it as "tRNA-Leu". It matches the Rfam family "tRNA". Rfam says of the family: Transfer RNA (tRNA) molecules are approximately 80 nucleotides in length. Their secondary structure includes four short double-helical elements and three loops (D, anti-codon, and T loops). Further hydrogen bonds mediate the characteristic L-shaped molecular structure. tRNAs have two regions of fundamental functional importance: the anti-codon, which is responsible for specific mRNA codon recognition, and the 3' end, to which the tRNAs corresponding amino acid is attached (by aminoacyl-tRNA synthetases). tRNAs cope with the degeneracy of the genetic code in two manners: having more than one tRNA (with a specific anti-codon) for a particular amino acid; and 'wobble' base-pairing, i.e. permitting non-standard base-pairing at the 3rd anti-codon position. The record is from RNAcentral. Lineage: Bacteria; Pseudomonadati; Pseudomonadota; Alphaproteobacteria; Rhodospirillales; Rhodospirillaceae. RNAcentral also lists the same sequence under 6 other names.